CCUCCCAUAGCUCAGCGGUAGAGCAUUCGGCUGUAACCCGAAGUGUCUCCGGUUCAAAUCCGGAUGGGGGGA
This 72-nucleotide transfer RNA is filed under the name archaeon D22. RNAcentral's name for it is "tRNA-Tyr". It matches the Rfam family "tRNA". From Rfam's summary of the family: Transfer RNA (tRNA) molecules are approximately 80 nucleotides in length. Their secondary structure includes four short double-helical elements and three loops (D, anti-codon, and T loops). The record is from RNAcentral.